AACGCUAGCUACAGGCUUAACACAUGCAAGUCGAGGGGCAGCAUGGUCUUAGCUUGCUAAGGCCGAUGGCGACCGGCGCACGGGUGAGUAACACGUAUCCAACCUGCCGUCUACUCUUGGACAGCCUUCUGAAAGGAAGAUUAAUACAAGAUGGCAUCAUGAGUCCGCAUGUUCACAUGAUUAAAGGUACUCCGGUAGACGAUGGGGAUGCGUUCCAUUAGAUAGUAGGCGGGGUAACGGCCCACCUAGUCUUCGAUGGAUAGGGGUUCUGAGAGGAAGGUCCCCCACAUUGGAACUGAGACACGGUCCAAACUCCUACGGGAGGCAGCAGUGAGGAAUAUUGGUCAAUGGGCGAGAGCCUGAACCAGCCAAGUAGCGUGAAGGAUGACUGCCCUAUGGGUUGUAAACUUCUUUUAUAAAGGAAUAAAGUCGGGUAUGGAUACCCGUUUGCAUGUACUUUAUGAAUAAGGAUCGGCUAACUCCGUGCCAGCAGCCGCGGUAAUACGGAGGAUCCGAGCGUUAUCCGGAUUUAUUGGGUUUAAAGGGAGCGUAGAUGGAUGUUUAAGUCAGUUGUGAAAGUUUGCGGCUCAACCGCAAAAUUGCAGUUGAUACUGGAUAUCUUGAGUGCAGUUGAGGCAGGCGGAAUUCGUGGUGUAGCGGUGAAAUGCUUAGAUAUCACGAAGAACUCCGAUUG
RNAcentral lists this ribosomal RNA (694 nucleotides) under uncultured bacterium. RNAcentral describes it as "bacterial SSU rRNA". It matches the Rfam family "Bacterial small subunit ribosomal RNA", at positions 32 to 715 of the family's 1533-position model. The record is from RNAcentral.